Small nucleolar RNA from Astatotilapia calliptera (eastern happy), 70 nucleotides. Lineage: Eukaryota; Metazoa; Chordata; Actinopteri; Cichliformes; Cichlidae. The record is from Ensembl.
UUUCCAUGAUGAUAACUUUGUCCAGUUCUGCUACUGAAUGCAAGUGGUGACAGCAAAGACUCCUGAGAAA